Molecule: long non-coding RNA, 228 nt
Filed under: Medicago truncatula (barrel medic)
Lineage: Eukaryota; Viridiplantae; Streptophyta; Magnoliopsida; Fabales; Fabaceae
Description: long non-coding RNA (MTRU_LNC005016)
Source: RNAcentral
GGAAGAAGAAUGAAAAAGAAACAAAAAUUGAUCAAUAUGGAAGAAUAAAGAAGAAGAAAUUUGAAAGAAGAAGAUGUUUUUGUUCCCACGUUCGGGGUUCUAGAAUGGAAGAAAUUUUAUGAAUGUAAAUGAUGAAUUUAAGGACAUCCAGAUGAAAGAAAUUUGAUGUAAAAUUUUAUUUGUUAUAAGUCUUGUAGUGUAAAUUAAUUAAGAUUGAACACCUUAAUA